RNAcentral lists this long non-coding RNA (517 nucleotides) under Pongo abelii (Sumatran orangutan). RNAcentral's name for it is "lincRNA". The record is from RNAcentral. Lineage: Eukaryota; Metazoa; Chordata; Mammalia; Primates; Hominidae.
AGCGAGACCACGAACCCACCGGGAGGAACAAACAACUCCGGACGCACCACCUUUAAGAGCUGUAACACUCACUGCGAAGGUCUGCGGCUUCACUCCUGAAGUCAAGCAAGACCACAAACCCACAAGAAGGAAAAAACUCCAGACACAUCUGAACAUCUGAAGGUACAAACUCCAGACACACCAUCUGUAAGAACUGUAACACUCACCACGAGGGUCCGUGGCUUCAUUCUUGAAGUCAGCCAGACCAAGAACCCACCGGAAGGAACCGAUUCCAGACACAGUAUGGUUGGUCCACAAGAGAGGGGAAAUUUGGAUGCAGAGACAAGCAUGCAGGGAGAACGUCAUGUGAAGAUUUGAGUUAUGCUGCCAAAAGCCAAGGACCUACCAGAAGCUAGAAGAGAAGCCUGGAACAGAUCCUUCCUCAGAGUCUUCAGAGGGAACAGGACCCUCCCAGCACAUUGAUCUUGGACGUGUAGUCUCCAGAACUAUGAGACAAUAAAUAUCGGUUGUUUAAGCC